GAAGGCAUUUUUACGGCUGUCA
This 22-nucleotide microRNA is filed under the name Melibe leonina. RNAcentral's name for it is "mle-miR-1989b-3p". Lineage: Eukaryota; Metazoa; Mollusca; Gastropoda; Nudibranchia; Dendronotidae. The record is from miRBase by way of RNAcentral.